Molecule: long non-coding RNA, 1760 nt
Organism: Rattus norvegicus (Norway rat)
Lineage: Eukaryota; Metazoa; Chordata; Mammalia; Rodentia; Muridae
Source: RefSeq, a predicted model, not a curated record
UAGGUUGCACUUACUCCCAGGAAGGUUGGCAGAAUGGGCUGAAUUUCGGGUGCCACUCGUACUGUUUCUCAUUAUUGAGUCUCAGUAGGGAUGGGUCCCUGGAAUUCAUAUGCAAAUAGAUGAGGUUAAAGUCAGCGUGUCCGUUUGACAGCUGCGUGCAGCAGUGAGAGCCUGGCUGGCUGGUCGUGCCCUUCUUGGGGCCAAUCUUAGAAGCAGCGGUGGGGAAAAGCCCGUAUUCCAGCUUGAAGGAAAGCCACUCCGUGAGUCGCAGCUGCUCGGGUUGAUUUAAUAUCCCUAGAAAAUGGCAGAGACAUCAAGUGGUAGAGGAAGAUGCAUGUCUGGGGGAGCAAAGAUCUGUCUGUGAUAUCCCCAGCCCUCCUGGAUUAUUUAUUUCAGGAAAGCACGACUUUUAUGGAAGCCUCGGAGCAAAAUGCAAAACAAACUACAGUUCCCUUGCCUCUCAGCUCCUGGCAGCCUCUCCAGUCAGUCGCCCUUGGCUGUGGGCACCGCUUUUCCUAAGCACAUCGCUAGCAAAGGAGUGAGACACAGGAGGCGCCAUUCCACUCGUGUUUUUUAACAGACUCCACCGGACUUCCCUCAGAAACAGGGCUGAACUGGAGAAACAACCGUUUAAAACACAGCAUUGUCUAUCUGCUACAUGAAGACCCCGGUGCUCAGACACAUGACACUGGUUGGCACAGAUCCCAUCAGUGACACUCCAUGGCCCUACAACGACCACUAGCACCAAUGUCCUCUUCUAUCCUCGGCACAGGCACUUGAAUGGCUUUGCCAAGAAAAGUGUUCUCUAAAGAUAAAGUAACACAAAGACAAGAGAAAGAAAGAGAGACAGAGAUACACAGUGGUACACCUUAGGGGAAGUAACAUAGGAUUGUGGAGGUUGUGAAACCCAACACUACAUGGAAGCUAGAGAAUCAGGGAAGCUAGUCACAUAGCUCAGUCUAGAUCCAAAUAUUGUAGAACCAGAAGGUCAGAGACUUAGGAGUGUGCCUACAAGUGCUGGUAGGAGAUGUACUUGUCCCAGAGUCCAAAGGCCCAUUGACCUGGAGUUGUGAGGACUGAGAACAAGGCAGAUGUCUCUCUCAGCUUGGUAAGGAAAGGAAGAAGACAAUGCAUGUAAAUGUUGGCUUGACUCAUGGGGUGGAGCUCUAAUUAGUUAUCCCAGUCAGAAAUGACAAGACGCCUUCCUUAUACAGUCUACCAAGUCAAAUGCCAGUCCCUUCCAGAAAUACCCUCACAGACGUAACCAGAAAUAGUGUUCUACCAGAUAUCUGGAUAUCCCUUAAUUCCCUCAAGUUGGCACUUACAAUUGCGUACCACUGUGCAGAAUUGAUGCAUCGUCUCCCAACCCUGCUCUUCCUUGUAAACUUUCACCUACUCUAAAUGAGCAUGGAAAGUCAGAACAACCCUGCCUGCUUGGCACACUGCACAUGAACUCAGCAAGGUGAACACUUACUAGCACUACAGAGGCCCAUUGACCCGUCGCACGCAGCUGUGUGUGUUUAUUCGCAAGUAAAGAGGAAGAGCUGGGACUGUGGCUGUAAAAAGGAAAGCUGGACAAUUUUUUAAAAAUAAAUUUUCAAUAUCUAAUAAUCGCACAUGAAUAUACCUGAUUUUCCAUUAACUAAAUGGAGUUGCCAAAAGGAACUAAUGAAUACUGCAUGGGUGAGUUCUGUAACUUUUUUUUUUUAAAGGGAGGACUGGACAUGAAAUAAUUUCUUUUAAUAAAGAGACAGAGACAA